RNAcentral lists this ribosomal RNA (466 nucleotides) under uncultured bacterium. RNAcentral describes it as "partial 16S ribosomal RNA". It matches the Rfam family "Bacterial small subunit ribosomal RNA", at positions 28 to 507 of the family's 1533-position model. The record is from RNAcentral.
GACGAGCGCUGGCGGCGCGCCUAACACAUGCAAGUCGAACGAGCGAGCGAGAGCUUGCUUUCUCGAGCGAGUGGCGAACGGGUGAGUAACGCGUGAGGAACCUGCCCCAAAGAGGGGGACAACAGUUGGAAACGACUGCUAAUACCGCAUAAGCCCACGGUGCCGCAUGGCACCGAGGGAAAAGGAGCAAUCCGCUUUGAGAUGGCCUCGCGUCCGAUUAGCUAGUUGGUGAGGUAAUGGCCCACCAAGGCGACGAUCGGUAGCCGGACUGAGAGGUUGAGCGGCCACAUUGGGACUGAGACACGGCCCAGACUCCUACGGGAGGCAGCAGUGGGGAAUAUUGCACAAUGGGGGAAACCCUGAUGCAGCGCCGGCGGGUGGAGGAAGAAGGUCGUCGGAUUGUAAACUCCUGUUGUUGGGGAAGAUAAUGACGGUACCCAACAAGGAAGUGACGGCUAACUACGUG